CCUACGGGUGGCAGCAGUGGGGAAUAUUGGGCAAUGGGCGCAAGCCUGACGCAGCAAUGCCGCGUGAAGGAAGAAGGUUUUCGGGUUGUAAACUUCUUUGAUUGGGGAAGAGCAGAACACUGUACCCUGAAUACAAGCCACGUCUAACUACGCGCCAGCAGCCGCGGUAAUACGGAGGUGGCAAGCGUUUUGCGGAUUUACUGGGUGUAAAGGGCGUGUAGCCGGGAAGGCAAGUCAGAUGUGAAAUCCGGAGGCUCAACCUCAGAAUUGCAUUUGAAACUGUUUUUCUUGAGUACGGGAGAGGCAGACGGAAUUCCUUGUGUAGCGGUGAAAUGCGUAGAUAUAAAGAGGAAUACUAGUGGCGAAGGCGGUCUGCUAGGAUAUAACUGACGCUGAGGCUCGAAAGCGUGGGGAGCAAACAGGAUUAGAUACCCUAGUAGUC
RNAcentral lists this ribosomal RNA (442 nucleotides) under uncultured bacterium. Its description in RNAcentral is "partial 16S ribosomal RNA". It matches the Rfam family "Bacterial small subunit ribosomal RNA", at positions 338 to 795 of the family's 1533-position model. The record is from RNAcentral.